RNAcentral lists this transfer RNA (86 nucleotides) under Phakopsora pachyrhizi. RNAcentral describes it as "tRNA-Lys". It matches the Rfam family "tRNA". Rfam says of the family: Transfer RNA (tRNA) molecules are approximately 80 nucleotides in length. Their secondary structure includes four short double-helical elements and three loops (D, anti-codon, and T loops). The record is from RNAcentral. Lineage: Eukaryota; Fungi; Basidiomycota; Pucciniomycetes; Pucciniales; Phakopsoraceae.
GCCCGGUUAGCUCAGUCGGUAGAGCGUUCGGCUUUUAAAACAAAAGUUUGACCGAAAUGUCGGGGGUUCGAGCCCCCCAUUGGGCG